RNAcentral lists this ribosomal RNA (253 nucleotides) under uncultured bacterium. RNAcentral's name for it is "partial 16S ribosomal RNA". It matches the Rfam family "Bacterial small subunit ribosomal RNA", at positions 524 to 776 of the family's 1533-position model. The record is from RNAcentral.
UACAGAGAGUGCGAACGUUGUUCGGAAUCACUGGGCUUAAAGCGCACGUAGGCGGCAUCGUAAGUGUCGGGUGAAAUCCCACGGCUCACCCGUGGAACUGCCCGGCAGACUGCGAUGCUCGAGUGUGGUAGGGGAGAACGGAACUCCUGGUGGAGCGGUGAAAUGCGUAGAUAUCAGGAGGAACACCGGUGGCGAAGGCGGUUCUCUGGUCCACAACUGACGCUGAGGUGCGAAAGCUAGGGGAGCAAACGGG